This is a long non-coding RNA of Ictalurus punctatus (channel catfish), 839 nucleotides long. NCBI's taxonomy places the organism in Eukaryota, Metazoa, Chordata, Actinopteri, Siluriformes, Ictaluridae. The record is from Ensembl.
GCUCGGUCUCGGUUUUACAAACAUCCUCUGAGCCAUACGUCGGCUUCCUGAUUCCUUACACAACAUAUGAGAUACGGCGAGAUAACGUCUGAGGGACUGUCAAGUUCGGAUACACUUCGAGCCGUGUCAUUUUCAGUGGUAUAAAGAGAAGAAAACACACUGAUAGGAGUAAAAGUAAAAGGAGUGAUCUGUAUAUCAUCUGGUGAAAAACUACUUGAUCAACAGGGUUGUCUGAUUCCAUUCAGCCUCAACCGGCCACCACGACACUUCGCUGGCCUACAAACCACAGACCGAGCCAAUUACACUCACCUACCUGGCAGGUACAAAUGCUUCCAAAAUAGCCCCCUUAUAUCUCUCUACUCAUCAGAAGAGCAUUAGGAGUGCAGCUGCCCAGGAACAAGGCAGUGAAGAAACAACUUCCUAUGACCAAUUUAUUUCCAAGAGCUUCUUCUCCUGACAGGGAAGGAGAGUGGUGUGAAAUUACUCAAGGGCACAUCAAGGACUGACACUCACUUUGCCCUUCACUUCUGCACAUUCGCCUCUUCUAGCAUUCUUCAUAGGAGCUGCAGUGUGCACCCUGUACUGAACAAUCACAAUGGGUAGAAGUACACACUGAGCUGUCAUGCAGAGACUAAAACUUUACACUCCCCAAACAACGUUCAUCAAGUGCUCAAUCAAGUGCUACACGUAGGAAAUCCUCCACAUCAUCAUCUGAGGAACUCCGGAGCAGCAGGAAACUUCAUGGCUAAGGAUUUGGCCGUGCAGCUCAAAUUAUCUUCCAUUCUUUUGAAUCACAUAUUUCAGUGCAUGCUCUACACGGCAGACCCGCUGGAGCCAGG